AGAGCGAACGCUGGCGGCAGGCCUAACACAUGCAAGUCGAGCGCCCGUAGCAAUACGGGAGCGGCAGACGGGAUAGUAACACGUGGGAACGCGCCCUUCGGUUCGGAAUAACUCAGGGAAACUUGAGCUAAUACCGGAUACGCCCUUACGGGGAAAGAUUUAUUGCCGAAGGAACGGCCCGCGUCCGAUUAGCUAGUUGGUGAGGUAAUGGCUCACCAAGGCGACGAUCGGUAGCUGGUCUGAGAGGAUGACCAGCAUCACUGGGACUGAGACACGGCCCAGACUCCUACGGGAGGCAGCAGUGGGGAAUAUGGACAAUGGGCGCAAGCCUGAUCCAGCCAUGCCGCGUGGAUGAUGAAGGCCCUAGGGUUGUAAAGUCCUUUUAACGGGGAAGAUAAUGACGGUACCCGUAGAAUAAGCCCCGGCUAACUUCGUGCCAGCAGCCGC
RNAcentral lists this ribosomal RNA (447 nucleotides) under uncultured bacterium. Its description in RNAcentral is "SSU rRNA". It matches the Rfam family "Bacterial small subunit ribosomal RNA", at positions 26 to 518 of the family's 1533-position model. The record is from RNAcentral.